GAUAAACGCUAGCGGCAGGCUUAAUACAUGCAAGUCGAACGGUAACAUGGAAGCAAUUCUGAUGACGAGUGGCGCACGGGUGCGUAACACGUAUGCAAUCUACCUUUAACCAGAGAAUAGCCCAGAGAAAUUUGGAUUAAUACUCUAUAGUAUUAUGAAGUGGCAUCACUUUAUACUUAAAGCUUCGGCGGUUAUAGAUGAGCAUGCGGGACAUUAGCUAGUUGGUAAGGUAACGGCUUACCAAGGCGACGAUGUCUAGGGGGUCUGAGAGGAUGUCCCCCCACACUGGUACUGAGAUACGGACCAGACUCCUACGGGAGGCAGCAGUAAGGAAUAUUGGUCAAUGGACGCAAGCCUGAACCAGCCAUCCCGCGUGCAGGAAGACGGCCCUAUGGGUUGUAAACUGCUUUUCCGAAAGGCGAAACUUAGCGACGUGUCGUUAAUUGACGGU
RNAcentral lists this ribosomal RNA (451 nucleotides) under uncultured Bacteroidota bacterium. Its description in RNAcentral is "bacterial SSU rRNA". It matches the Rfam family "Bacterial small subunit ribosomal RNA", at positions 28 to 476 of the family's 1533-position model. The record is from RNAcentral. Lineage: Bacteria; Pseudomonadati; Bacteroidota.